CUUCAGAAAGGAAGAACCCUUGCUCAAGAGAAGUAUGGUUUGUGUCUUCUCUUAUUUCCAUUACAGAAGCAACUAGGGAAGAAAUCUAACUGGAAGCAGAGGAUUUUGUUAAUACUUUUCAAUCAGCCAAGCAGGUCACAAAAGCUCUGAAGGAGGGCCACCCUCUUCCACCUCCUCCCCCGCCAAGAAUGAAUCCAGACUAUAUUCAGUGUCCACACUGCUCACAGAGGUUUUGUGAGGCUGCAGCCCAGAGGCACAUGGAGUUUUCUGAAGAACAAGCUGUCUACUAUGCUGCAAAGACCACUGGACAGGCUUCGGACAAGCAGCCAUUGACUCAGAGAAAAACUCCAACAUUAACACCUGCUGUGUUAUCGCUUCUGGAGAGAGUACAAAAAGGUGCCAACACAGACAAACCUACCCUAGAGACCUCUUUAGAAAUACUGAAGAAAACUGCAAAAUCUUGGGGUGUAUCUACUGGGAAAAAUUCUUCAGGAAAGUUUGGACCGCAAAUGGACAACAGAAGAUAG
RNAcentral lists this long non-coding RNA (527 nucleotides) under Manacus vitellinus (golden-collared manakin). Its description in RNAcentral is "lncRNA (ENSMVIG00005016965.1)". The record is from RNAcentral. Lineage: Eukaryota; Metazoa; Chordata; Aves; Passeriformes; Pipridae.